CAGUCGCCGCGGUAAUACAGAGGGUGCAAGCGUUAAUCGGAAUUACUGGGCGUAAAGCGCGCGUAGACGGUUACUCAAGUCAGAGGUGAAAGCCCGGGGCUCAACCCCGGAACUGCCUUUGAAACUAGGUGACUAGAAUCUUGGAGAGGUCAGUGGAAUUCCGAGUGUAGAGGUGAAAUUCGUAGAUAUUCGGAAGAACACCAGUGGCGAAGGCGACUGACUGGACAAGUAUUGACGCUGAGGUGCGAAAGCGUGGGGAGCAAACAGGAUUAGAUACCCCAGUAGUCCCUGUCUCUUAUAC
Molecule: ribosomal RNA, 301 nt
Filed under: uncultured bacterium
Lineage: Bacteria
Description: partial 16S ribosomal RNA
Rfam family: Bacterial small subunit ribosomal RNA
Source: RNAcentral